CCGCAGCCAGUUAAGCCGACCGGCCCGCCUGCCGUGGGGGCCCGGUGUGCAAUGGCUGCGCACAGCACCCCCCCUGGUUGUGUACGUGCUCCGUGCCCUGUACGGAGCACCCUAAGGGACCGCGGGGACACGG
This 133-nucleotide small nucleolar RNA is filed under the name Chelydra serpentina (North American snapping turtle). Its description in RNAcentral is "Small nucleolar RNA SNORA70 (ENSCSRG00000014534.1)". It matches the Rfam family "Small nucleolar RNA SNORA70". Rfam says of the family: snoRNA U70 seems to be exclusive to mammals and is a member of the H/ACA class of snoRNA which contain H (ANANNA) and ACA box motifs. H/ACA box snoRNAs are involved in the conversion of uridines to pseudouridines (5-ribosyluracil) a constituent of structural RNAs (transfer, ribosomal, small nuclear, and small nucleolar). Lineage: Eukaryota; Metazoa; Chordata; Testudines; Chelydridae. The record is from Rfam by way of RNAcentral.